CCGUUGUACACACCGCCCGUCACGCCAUGGAAGCUGGGGGACCUAAAGUCGGUGGGCUAACCGCAAGGAGGCAGCCGCCAAAGGUCAAUUCAGUGACUGGGGCG
RNAcentral lists this ribosomal RNA (104 nucleotides) under uncultured bacterium. RNAcentral's name for it is "partial 16S ribosomal RNA". It matches the Rfam family "Bacterial small subunit ribosomal RNA", at positions 1378 to 1482 of the family's 1533-position model. The record is from RNAcentral.